GAGAACCACUAACUACCGAAUCAAAACGAUCAUCAAACAACUAAGCAGUUAGGAAACAAAAUUGAUUAUUUCGUGGCACCUCAGAGACCAAACACGAGAUUUUUAUCAGUAGAGGACAGUGAUCAAAAGCUAAUCUAUGGAGAUGAUGAACCUUGGCAUCAAUAAACUUCAAUCUCUAGUCAACAUUGCAAAGCACAUGAUCUAAGUGCUCUUUAACUUCACCUCGCUUCCAUGUAAAAUGCGGCCCUAUAAAGCUUGAGUCCAACUGACAAUAUUCAACCCAAUCACGAAGCUACAACGAGAAAAGCUAGCAGCUACCCCUCCAUGUUUCUCAAAAGCAUAAGCAAUAGAGUUGAAGUCCCUCGCUACUAACCAAGGCUUAGGAAUAAGCAAUAUUUGAGAGAGCAUCCCAUAAAAUGCGAUGAGCACUAUGCUGAGGACUAGCUUAUAUAGCACUGAACAAAAAACCACCACCACUAUUUAAAUGAACAUGAGCAUGAAUUAUAUUGAAAAUGCUGCUAGGCCACCUCCACAGACACCACAGUGUGAUCCCAAAUAAGCCAUAUACCACCCAAGAAGCCAAUUCAUUCCACUCUGUAAGAGCACCGAAAACCAAGUCUCAUAAUAAUACGAUCAUCCAUAUUACCACUAACCCCCGGUUUAAUAAG
RNAcentral lists this unclassified non-coding RNA (668 nucleotides) under Hevea brasiliensis (rubber tree). The record is from RNAcentral. Lineage: Eukaryota; Viridiplantae; Streptophyta; Magnoliopsida; Malpighiales; Euphorbiaceae.